GAGACGUCAUGCCGGAGAAUUAUGAGAAUGUGACCUCACUGGGGUUUCCAGUUUCCCAACCUGAUGUGAUCUCCCAGCAGGAACAAGGGGAAGAGCCAUGGGUCCCAGACCUCCAGGGUUCAGAGGAAAGAGCGAUCCUGAGAGUUCCCUGCACAGAUGAGGAAACAUUAAACCAACUCAGAAUCUAUCAAGCCUUUCUGUUCAUCUGAGAAUCCACACAGGGGACCGGCCAUACGAAUGCAGAGAGUGUGGGAAAUGCUUCACUAGCAGCUCAUACCUUUCUAAACAUCAGAGAAUCCACACAGAUGACAGGCCCUACGAAUGCAGAGAGUGUGGGAAAAGAUUCACUCGCAGAUCAGGCCUUUUUCAACAUCAGAGAAUCCACACAGGGGAGAGGCCCUAUGAAUGCAGUGAGUGUGGAAAAACCUUCAAUCGCAGCUCGCAUCUUAUUAGUCAU
Mauremys mutica (yellowpond turtle) is the source of this 457-nucleotide long non-coding RNA. RefSeq lists it as uncharacterized. The record is from RefSeq and is a predicted model, not a curated record. NCBI's taxonomy places the organism in Eukaryota, Metazoa, Chordata, Testudines, Geoemydidae. The transcript has 3 exons.